GUUUGCUUAGGCCAAUAUACACCAAAAUUAGAAUGAUACAGAGAAGAGUAUCAGGGUCCUGGCAUAAGAAUGACAUGCACAUUUGUUAAGUAAUUCAUAUUUUU
Tupaia belangeri (northern tree shrew) is the source of this 104-nucleotide small nuclear RNA. The record is from Ensembl. NCBI's taxonomy places the organism in Eukaryota, Metazoa, Chordata, Mammalia, Scandentia, Tupaiidae.